UAUGUGAUCGUCUCUCGCAUAUCAAUAAGCGGAGGAAAAGAAACUAACAAGGAUUCCCUUAGUAACGGCGAGUGAAGCAGGGAAGAGCUCAAAUUUGAAAUCUUCAAGGUUUUACCUUGACGAAUUGUAGUUUAAAGAAGUGUUUUCUGUUGAAGUUUUGGUAAAAGUUCUUUGGAAUAGGACAUCAUAGAGGGUGAGAAUCCCGUAUUUGACCAUUAUUUUCAGCUGUGUGAUACACUUUCAAAGAGUCGGAUUGUUUGGGAAUGCAGUCCAAAAUGGGUGGUAAAUUUCAUCUAAAGCUAAAUAUUGGCGAGAGACCGAUAGCGAACAAGUACCGUGAGGGAAAGAUGAAAAGAACUUUGAAAAGAGAGUUAAACAGUACGUGAAAUUGUCAAAAGGGAAGCGUUUGACACCAGUGUUGUUUUCUCGAAAAUCAAUUAAAAAGAGUUAGAUUUUGUUGUGUAUUGACCUUAACAGCUUGCAUUUCAAUUUUCUUGCUUUUUUUAAUGCACUUUUCGUUUAACAAGUCAACAUCAGUUUCUUUUGUUGUAAAAAGGUCAUUGGAAGGUGGCUUUCUUUUCGGAGAAAGUGUUUAUAGCCUUUGACUCCUGCAAUCGGAGAGACUGAGGUCUGCAGCGUAGAUCCUUCGGGGUUAGAUACAUUUGUGCUAAGUUAUAGCUUUUUAUAGACAACUUGUUGACUAUGAUUAGUCUUGUAGCUUACUCGCUUAUGCUAUUUUACCUACGCUUAGGAUGUUGAAGAUGUAGCACAUCAU
RNAcentral lists this ribosomal RNA (775 nucleotides) under uncultured Neocallimastigales. RNAcentral's name for it is "partial large subunit ribosomal RNA". It matches the Rfam family "Eukaryotic large subunit ribosomal RNA", at positions 24 to 620 of the family's 3401-position model. The record is from RNAcentral. Lineage: Eukaryota; Fungi; Neocallimastigomycota; Neocallimastigomycetes; Neocallimastigales.